This 503-nucleotide ribosomal RNA is filed under the name Gnaptorina longicornis. RNAcentral describes it as "partial 16S ribosomal RNA". It matches the Rfam family "Archaeal large subunit ribosomal RNA", at positions 1901 to 2655 of the family's 2987-position model. Lineage: Eukaryota; Metazoa; Arthropoda; Insecta; Coleoptera; Tenebrionidae. The record is from RNAcentral.
AAAAACAUGUCUUUUUGUUUAUGAUUUAAGGUCUGACCUGCCCAAUGAUUAUUAUUAAAUGGCUGCAGUAUUUUGACUGUACAAAGGUAGCAUAAUCAUUAGUUUCUUAAUUAGAAGCUGGAAUGAAUGGUUUGAUGAAAAAUUUACUGUCUCAAUUUAAUUGUAUUAGAAUUUUAUUUUUAAGUGAAAAAGCUUAAAUUUUUUAAGAAGACGAGAAGACCCUAUAGAGUUUUAUGUAUUUAAUAUUUAUUUUUUUAUGGUUUUAUUAUUUUUAAUUUUUUAUUACAUUUUGUUGGGGUGAUGCGAAAAUUUUUUUAACUUUUCUUGAUUUUUACACUGAUUAGUGAGUUAAUGAUCCUUUUUUGGAUUAUAAGAUUAAAUUACCUUAGGGAUAACAGCGUAAUUUUUUUUGAAAGCUCUUAUUGAUAAAAAAGUUUGCGACCUCGAUGUUGGAUUAAAGUUUAUUUUUGGUGUAGAAGCUAAGAAAUUAGGUCUGUUCGACC